UGGGGAAUAUUGGACAAUGGGCGAAAGCCUGAUCCAGCAAUGCCGCGUGAGUGAUGAAGGCCUUAGGGUUGUAAAGCUCUUUUACCCGGGAUGAUAAUGACAGUACCGGGAGAAUAAGCCCCGGCUAACUCCGUGCCAGCAGCCGCGGUAAUACGGAGGGGGCUAGCGUUGUUCGGAAUUACUGGGCGUAAAGCGCACGUAGGCGGCCCGUCAAGUCAGAGGUGAAAGCCCGGAGCUCAACUCCGGAAUUGCCUUUGAAACUAGCAGGCUUGAACGUCGGAGAGGUGAGUGGAAUUCCGAGUGUAGAGGUGAAAUUCGUAGAUAUUCGGAAGAACACCAGUGGCGAAGGCGGCUCACUGGACGACUGUUGACGCUGAGGUGCGAAAGCGUGGGGAGCAAA
RNAcentral lists this ribosomal RNA (400 nucleotides) under uncultured bacterium. RNAcentral describes it as "bacterial SSU rRNA". It matches the Rfam family "Bacterial small subunit ribosomal RNA", at positions 355 to 772 of the family's 1533-position model. The record is from RNAcentral.